Molecule: ribosomal RNA, 460 nt
Filed under: uncultured bacterium
Lineage: Bacteria
Description: partial 16S ribosomal RNA
Rfam family: Bacterial small subunit ribosomal RNA
Source: RNAcentral
CCUACGGUGGGCAGCAGUGAGGAAUAUUGGUCAAUGGACGAGAGUCUGAACCAGCCAAGUAGCGUGAAGGAUGACUGCCCUAUGGGUUGUAAACUUCUUUUAUAUGGGAAUAAAAUGUUCCACGUGUGGGAUUUUGUAUGUACCAUAUGAAUAAGGAUCGGCUAACUCCGUGCUAGCAGCCGCGGUAAUACGGAGGAUCCGAGCGUUAUCCGGAUUUAGUGGGUUUAAAGGGAGCGUAGGUGGAUUGUUAAGUCAGUUGUGAAAGUUUGCGGCUCAACCGUAAAAUUGCAGUUGAAACUGGCAGUCUUGAGUACAGUAGAGGUGGGCGGAAUUCGUGGUGUAGCGGUGAAAUGCUUAGAUAUCACGAAGAACUCUGAUUGCGAAGGCAGUUCACUGGACUGCAACUGACACUGAGGCUCGAAAGUGUGGGUAUCAAACAGGAUUAGAUACCCCAGUAGUC